Molecule: long non-coding RNA, 307 nt
Filed under: Ananas comosus (pineapple)
Lineage: Eukaryota; Viridiplantae; Streptophyta; Magnoliopsida; Poales; Bromeliaceae
Description: long non-coding RNA (ACOM_LNC018256)
Source: RNAcentral
UGUAUUUUUUUUGGUAUUUUGACAUCGAGGUUAGUAUCAUAAUAUUAUUAUUUUUCGUUUAGACUCUGUUGAAAGAUUUUUGGUAAAAUUGAAGUUAAAAACUGAUUUUUUAUAUGUUUUAGGAGUUGAUUUCGUGUGAUUUUUGCAAGAAAUUUUUCGAGCCACUCUCAGGCAUUGUACUGCCAUUCAGGCAAGGAGAGUAGUAGCAGAUUAUCUCUUUAUCCCGACUAUCGUUUUGUUUCUUAGAGUUGCGAUACAGCUAAAUUCCGUAUUGUUAAAAUUGACGGAUUAAUUUCUAUGUCUAUAU